This 72-nucleotide transfer RNA is filed under the name Loxodonta africana (African savanna elephant). It matches the Rfam family "tRNA". Rfam says of the family: Transfer RNA (tRNA) molecules are approximately 80 nucleotides in length. Their secondary structure includes four short double-helical elements and three loops (D, anti-codon, and T loops). The record is from Rfam by way of RNAcentral. Lineage: Eukaryota; Metazoa; Chordata; Mammalia; Proboscidea; Elephantidae.
GUCAUGGUGGUUUAGUGGUAAAAUUCUUGCCUUCCAUGUAGAAGACUUCAGGUUCAAUUCCAGGCCAAUGCA